Molecule: non-coding RNA, 111 nt
Organism: Chiloscyllium plagiosum (whitespotted bambooshark)
Lineage: Eukaryota; Metazoa; Chordata; Chondrichthyes; Orectolobiformes; Hemiscylliidae
Source: RefSeq, a predicted model, not a curated record
GAUUAUUCUAUCAUCUGGCUGCUCAUAAAGGAAGAAUUGGUAGCGGUGGUACCCUGUGCCAGAUGGUGGGGUGGGUGGCCUGUACUCUGAGAGUAUUGUACCUUGAUAAAC